CGGACGGGUGAGUAAUGUAUGGGGAUCUGCCUGAUGACGGGGGAUAACUACUGGAAACGGUAGCUAAUACCGCAUAAUGUCUACGGACCAAAGCGGGGGACCUCCGGGCCUCGCGCCAUCAGAUGAACCCAUAUGGGAUUAGCUAGUAGGUAAGGUAACGGCUUACCUAGGCGACGAUCCCUAGCUGGUCUGAGAGGAUGAUCAGCCACACUGGGACUGAGACACGGCCCAG
RNAcentral lists this ribosomal RNA (232 nucleotides) under uncultured bacterium. RNAcentral describes it as "partial 16S ribosomal RNA". It matches the Rfam family "Bacterial small subunit ribosomal RNA", at positions 99 to 334 of the family's 1533-position model. The record is from RNAcentral.